GAGUGAAGAAAUUGGAGAUUGGCGUAGGCGCGGGGUUCUGUGGGAUUUUAGGACAAGGGACAAAGGAGGAUGUUUUGGUUCUACUGUCUGCUAUUGCUGUUGUGUCGUAGUUUGUUGCGGUUAAGACUUGAAGUAUGUCCUUGGUUUUUGGAUGUUUUUAGUUUCGACGAAAUAACAUGAAAAACAUCGGAAGCGUGUAAAUGCGAAACACGCCGAGUUCGCGUUCGAUCUUUGGUUUUUCCGGCACUUGGGAUGGGAGUCACAUUUUGUCUUGGGAUAAUGUGCGCCUCAGCGUGUCUUCUUUCUUAACCUGCGCUUGCUUUUUCAUGUCAAUGCCGACUACGUGUCAACUGCGCAGGCUGAAAUAACGUAGUGUUUUCCGGAACAAUUUUUAAAAUUGUUUUAUGGGCUGUGGCCUAUCCAUCGACCCACUAGGCCGGGCCCAUCAUAGUCCCAUGAAUUUAUGAGCACAAGCUGUCCUGUGUGAUGUAAUGACACAUGGAA
Molecule: unclassified non-coding RNA, 504 nt
Filed under: Hevea brasiliensis (rubber tree)
Lineage: Eukaryota; Viridiplantae; Streptophyta; Magnoliopsida; Malpighiales; Euphorbiaceae
Source: RNAcentral